UUAUUGGGCGUAAACCGAGCGCAGAGCGGUUUUUUAAGUCUGAUGUGAAAGCCUUCGGCUCAACCGAAGAAGUGCAUCGGAAACUGGGAAACUUGAGUGCAGAAGAGGACAGUGGAACUCCAUGUGUAGCGGUGAAAUGCGUAGAUAUAUGGAAGAACACCAGUGGCGAAGGCGGCUGUCUGGUCUGUAACUGACGCUGAGGCUCGAAAGUAUGGGUAGCAAACAGGAUUAGAUACCCUGGUAGUCCAUACCGUAAACGAUGAAUGCUAAGUGUUGGAGGGUUUCCGCCCUUCAGUGCUGCAGCUAACGCAUUAAGCAUUCCGCCUGGGGAGUACGGCCGCAAGGCUGAAACUCAAAGGAAUUGACGGGGGCCCGCACAAGCGGUGGAGCAUGUGGUUUAAUUCGAAGCUACGCGAANAACCUUACCAGGNCUAGACAUACUAUGCAUAUCUAA
This 454-nucleotide ribosomal RNA is filed under the name Lactobacillus sp. CL6. Its description in RNAcentral is "bacterial SSU rRNA". It matches the Rfam family "Bacterial small subunit ribosomal RNA", at positions 551 to 1002 of the family's 1533-position model. Lineage: Bacteria; Bacillati; Bacillota; Bacilli; Lactobacillales; Lactobacillaceae. The record is from RNAcentral.